Salmo salar (Atlantic salmon) is the source of this 2273-nucleotide non-coding RNA. Lineage: Eukaryota; Metazoa; Chordata; Actinopteri; Salmoniformes; Salmonidae. The record is from RefSeq and is a predicted model, not a curated record.
GGGUUUAAUGAUAAUUAGGCAAAGACUCAGCUUAUGCUAAAGGUUCGUACAGUUUAUUCACGAGAAAGUCCACAAUACAAAGACAUGCCAUUUUAUAACUCACUCCCUACUUACGCGCAUUCCUCCACACAAACAGUAGAUAGCCUACGCACAUACAUACACACGAACAGUAGGUAAAAUGUAUCCUUCCCCAUGGUUCUCACCACUGUUCAUCAUUACCAAACUGGCAGUUCCAUCCCCCCGAGAUUAGAGGAACCUUGAAAGGACUCCCUGUCCUAUCGUAAGUUUCUCAGAGUUCUAGCCAGGUCAAGUCAUACACAGUUUAAUUGUUCUCGGUAUCUUCUUAGUCACACACACACACACAUUUCUCUCCCUCACAUGUCUCUACCGAACCUUAUUGGACUUACAUUUAGUACUUUACGUUCAUUAUACAUGCUACAUAAACUAGUAAUCACUAAUAGUUACGUUUCAGGGUGGAAUUCUUUAAUAAUUACCUUUAAGCAUAUAAAUUGCCUUAUCAGUUAGCUAGUUUGCUAGUUUAGCUGGAUAAUUGUAGCUAGCGCUCUCUUAGCUCUCAGGAUAAUCCUCCAUGGACAUGGAAUCUUCUAACUUGGAUGGACGAGGGAAAAAAGGGAAGGAGUAGAGAAGUUAUCCAGCCUGCUGACUAAGAAAUGGAAAUAGCCUAUGCUUUGCUGUCUAUCUCUCUCUAUCUCUCUCCGUCUGUCUGCCUGCCUGCCUAACUGACAUAUUGCUGAAGGGCAACAUAGUCAAUGUACUUGCUAGGCCAAGCCUAACUUAGUGAAGACCUUGAUUUGUCUCUGUCUUUACAGUUCCUGAAACAUGUCAAUGGCCUGAUGCAUGGCCUCUACAGAGGUGGUUGGCCACCCACUCAGUUACCAGUGACCUAUUCUGCCACAUCCCAGGGAAUUGAGAGCGCAGGACCACCCCUUCUUAAAUCCAUAGUAAUUGACACAGAGGGUUCUACCUGGAACCCAAAACGGUUCAAACUGGAACCAAAAAGGCUUUGCCUAUGAGGACAGCUGAACAACCUUUUGGACCCUUGUUUCUAAGAGUGUAGUGUGCAAAAGCCUUGUGUCCUGAUUCAACAGACACCUCCCCUGGUGAGUCAUGUAAAGUUUCCUGAUUCAACAAAACCUCCCCUGGUGAGUCAUGUAAAGUUUCCUGAUUGAACAAACACCUCCCCUGGUGAGUCAUGUAAAGUUUCUCCCAUUUCUCUCUUGCUCAUUCUCUCUUUCGCUCCCUCAAACUCACACACAUGCAGAAGUAGAGAAGAGGAAGAGAUAUACCAAUUACAUCAAUUUCUAACACUGUUUGUUGCAGGAAUUAUAUGACAGACGCAUAACCUUUUGAACAAUAUAAUAUUUUACUGUCGCUUUAUUGCCUCUUUACACAUACUUACAUUUUUGCAUUUAACUUUGUUUUUUAAGACUGCCACGCUGUCCUAUAUUGGGGAACCUUGUCCAGGACAAUGACCUCAGGAUUAUGGAGCUGUGUGUUUAUAAAAAAGUUUGAAUAUUACAACAUGUAUUAGGAUUAAGAUAAACUUGACCAUUUAGAGAGGAGUUCAACAUUUUCAUUAUUGAACUACUGUCUAAUUUUAAUAACCUCUUUCUUAAAAUAUUUCUGAUUGAUGACCAAUGGAUUAAUGUCCCACUUCAAAAUGAAGGGACAGAAGAGCAAACAUGCCUUUGCUACCACUUUUAGUAGAUUCUCACUGUUACAAAUCUUUUACUGUGUGUUACUGUUAUGUUCUGCAUGCCCACAUAAUGCAAAUCAUAAAAAAGUAAUAUUUUUAUGCUUACAGUAAGUGUCAUGAAAACUCAGGAGGUUGAUGUGUUAUGGGCCUUCUGGAAAGUCCUAAAAUAUGCCCCUGAGCCGUGUUGGGGAAUGACGCAAAGUAUUUUUUUAAAUACAUCUCUAAGCUAUAACUGCCACAGCAUUAUUCAACUAGUACCAUGGAAAUACUUUUAACUGGCUGAGUACAACGUUUCUUCAAGAGUGUCCUUUUCUAGUUUGCUUAUAAAAUAUUAACUUGAUAAAAUUGUAAUGUGCUGAUUGUCUUCACUUCAUCUGAUCCAUCACACCACUCUUCAAGAGGACCACUCUGCUCCAGAUCUGACCCAUCACACCACUCUUCAAGAGGACCACUCUGCUCCAGAUCUGACCCAUCACACCACUCUUCAAGAGGACCACUCUGCUCCAGAUCUGACCCAUCACACCACUCUUCAAGAGGACCACUAUGCUCCAGAUCU